RNAcentral lists this long non-coding RNA (1203 nucleotides) under Ursus americanus (American black bear). RNAcentral's name for it is "lncRNA (ENSUAMG00000014185.1)". The record is from RNAcentral. Lineage: Eukaryota; Metazoa; Chordata; Mammalia; Carnivora; Ursidae.
AGCCGGCUGUUAACUAGCAGCGGGCGCGGCCGGUGACUAAGGGCCCCUCGGCGUCUCACCUGGUGUUCGAGGAGUUUCCUGCGCUCACGUGUGGUGGCUCACGUGGCGUGGAAACCGCGUGAAAGCCGCCCCGGGCAAGAGCAUAUAAGACCCCCCCGCCCACGGUGGGGGGAGAGAAGAAAGCGCGCUCCUCACUUGUCCCCGGCUCCAGUGAGGAAGAAAAUAGCGGCUUUACAAACAAAGGUAAAGGACCAGAGAACUUUCUUCUAAGGUUUUAAGAAAGCCAGACUGCUACGCCCUGUAAGCUGUGCUGACCCGGGCGUGGAAAGGCAGCUGGGGGGAAGCGCCGUGUCCUCCCGACUCCCUCCUUGCGAAUCCUGCGGAGAGGAGCCCGGGGUGGCGGGAAAGCACGGCGUGGGCGCUGGAGGGCGAAAGGCGACCAGAGGCCUGCCCUGGCCUUCAGAAGUGACCUGACGCCGGGAAGGAAGCUUAUUAACCCCUGGGCUCCUCCGCCCUCUCCCCGGGGUGUGAGCCGGCUCCUCCUCCUCCCGGGCGAGCUAGCCUGGGGCAAGAUGCACACAGCCUCCGGCUUCGCGCGCCCUGCCCGUCCCUCCCAGCCCAGGAAGACGCGAGAGGGGAGGGCGCAGCCCAAAGCCAAGCCCGGCGAGUCCGUGGAUCCCCAGUGAACAUCCCGAGCGAGACCGCGGGGACCCCGCAACCGCCGCGCCGCCCUAGCACCGCAGGCGACCCGUCUCCCUGCUCCUCCGCCGCAUCUGCACCGACACCCGACUCCAGGUCUGACCCCUCAGCUCCACGACACCCCCAGCCCCGGUGCAUCGCGCAGGUGGCGCAGACGCCCCUGCCCUCCGGCGCCCCCUGCCGGGGAGAGGGAAGGCUGCGGCCGCGGAGAAGCCGAGCACAGGCGGGGAGAGAGCUCCAGCACCGGGAAGAAGCCGGGAGCUUCCCUGAUGGUGCCGCCGCCUCCGAGUCGGGGAGCAGCGGCGAGGGGGCAGCUGGGCAGGAGCCUGGGUCCGCUGCUGCUGCUCCUGGCGCUGGGACACACGUGGAGUUACCGAGAGGAGCCCGAGGACGGCGACAGAGAGAUCUGCUCAGAAAACAAGAUCGCCACGACGAAAUACCCGUGCCUGAAGCCUUCGGGUGAGCUCACCACGUGUUUCAGGUAAGCCUCCGGGCUCUGCCGAG